This 1342-nucleotide ribosomal RNA is filed under the name uncultured bacterium. RNAcentral's name for it is "bacterial SSU rRNA". It matches the Rfam family "Bacterial small subunit ribosomal RNA", at positions 21 to 1368 of the family's 1533-position model. The record is from RNAcentral.
GGCUCAGGAUGAGCGCUGGCGGCGUGCUUAACACAUGCUAGUCGAGCGAAGCACUUAUGAUUUCUUCGGAUUGAAUGAGUGACUGAGCGGCGGACGGGUGAGUAACGCGUGGGUAACCUGCCUCACACAGGGGGAUAACAGUUAGAAAUGACUGCUAAUACCGCAUAAGACCACAGCACCGCAUGGUGCAGGGGUAAAAACUCCGGUGGUGUGAGAUGGACCCGCGUCCGAUUAGCUGGUUGGUGGGGUAACGGCCUACCAAGGCGACGAUCGGUAGCCGAACUGAGAGGUUGAUCGGCCGCAUUGGGACUGAGACACGGCCCAGACUCCUACGGGAGGCAGCAGUGGGGGAUAUUGCACAAUGGGGGAAACCCUGAUGCAGCAACGCCGCGUGAGGGAAGAAGGUCUUCGGAUUGUAAACCUAAGUUGUCAGGGACGAACAAGAUGACGGUACCUGAAGAGAAAGCUCCGGCUAACUACGUGCCAGCAGCCGCGGUAAUACGUAGGGAGCGAGCGUUGUCCGGAUUUACUGGGUGUAAAGGGUGCGUAGGCGGGUUUGCAAGUCAGGCGUGAAAUACCGGUGCUUAACAUCGGGGCUGCGCUUGAAACUGUAGAUCUUGAGUGAAGUAGAGCCAAGCGGAAUUCCUAGGGGUAGCGGUGAAAUGGGUAGAUAUUAGGAGGAACACCAGUGGCGAAGGCGGCUUGCUGGGCUUUAACUGACGCUGAGGCACGAAAGCGUGGGGGAGCAAACAGGAUUAGAUACCCUGGUAGUCCACGCCGUAAACGAUGAUAGCUAGGUGUGGGGGGACUGACCCCCUCCGUGCCGGAGCAAACGCAAUAAGCUAUCCACCUGGGGAGUACGACCGCAAGGUUGAAACUCAAAGGAAUUGACGGGGGCCCGCACAAGCAGUGGAGUAUGUGGUUUAAUUCGAAGCAACGCGAAGAACCUUACCAGGUCUUGACAUCCGACUAACGAGGCAGAGAUGCGUUAGGUGCCCUUCGGGGAAAGUCGAGACAGGUGGUGCAUGGUUGUCGUCAGCUCGUGUCGUGAGAUGUUGGGUUAAGUCCCGCAACGAGCGCAACCCUUGUCCUUAGUUGCUACGCAAGAGCACUCUAAGGAGACUGCCGUUGACAAAACGGAGGAAGGUGGGGACGACGUCAAAUCAUCAUGCCCCUUAUGACCUGGGCUACACACGUACUACAAUGGCCAAGAACAGAGGGAAGCGACACCGCGAGGUGAAGCAAACCCCGAAAAAUGGUCUCAGUUCAGAUUGCAGGCUGCAACUCGCCUGUAUGAAGUCGGAAUUGCUAGUAAUCGCGGAUCAGCAUGCCGCGGUGAAUA